UAGCGAGACAGUGAAUACAAUGAAACACAUAGAAUACAGCGGGAUACAUUGAAAUAUAAUGAGAAAAAAGUCACUGAUUACAAUGAAAUACAUGGAAUACAACGAGAUACAUUGAAUUACAAUGAAAAAAAAGAUAGUGAAUACAAUGAAAUACAGCGAGAUAUAUUGAAAUGCUCUUAAAAAAAAGUUAACAGAAUCUUCAAAUUGCUCAACCCCAAACUUCAAACGACCUAUUUUAGUCGACGAUUAUCCGGCGACCCAUAGGAUUCCGACCAUGAUUCCAUAAGCAGCGAUGAGAGAAAGAAGAAGAAAAUGAGAAAGAUUGCUGAAGAAGAAAUUGCUAGCAUCCGUAACGUAUAUGAAGAAGUUAAAGUCCCAGAACUGAAUUUGGCUAGCACCCGCUGGUAAUGAAUCGGAAGAAAUUACUAGCACCCACUGAAGAAGAAAUUGCCAAGAAGUUAAAGUCCCAAAAAAUUCCUUGCCAUGGAAAGGAAGAAGAAGAAGAAACAUACUGGCAGAAGAAAACAAUCAAAAUCGGAAAGGAAGAAGAAGAAGAAGAAACAUACUAGAGUUGGCCAUGGAGAUUUCAUUGCCUUCAUUAGGGUCAAGCCAGGGAGGCAGCGUAUAUUAUGUGAGAGAGGGCAGCGUAUUUUAUGACUUAAGGGUAGGAGGUGACCA
Molecule: long non-coding RNA, 678 nt
Filed under: Nicotiana tabacum (common tobacco)
Lineage: Eukaryota; Viridiplantae; Streptophyta; Magnoliopsida; Solanales; Solanaceae
Description: long non-coding RNA (NTAB_LNC008073)
Source: RNAcentral